Molecule: long non-coding RNA, 7281 nt
Organism: Equus caballus (horse)
Lineage: Eukaryota; Metazoa; Chordata; Mammalia; Perissodactyla; Equidae
Source: Ensembl
CAGAAGGUACACUGGCCCUGGAGUAGGGAAGUUUCCCUAAUCCAUCUCUUUGACCAUGACCUUCACAAAAGUGACUAUAGAGGAGUCAUUUUAAAAUGGAGUCAGAGCUGCCUGUCCAGAGAAAUUGCUUGGCUGUCUUAAACCUCGGACUGGGCCAAACCUGUGGAGAGGACCAGAAUGGCAAUUGUUUUACAAGCAAUUGUUUGAGAAGUCAGCAGGAGAACAGACACUCUGAUCACAAAGACCGAGGGUUGUGGACUUUCUGAAGAUGGAAUCAAUAGCCAAUCAAUGUUUAACCAAGACUAGCUGUCUGCCUCCAACUCCAAUUAAAAUUCUUUGUAAUACAACCUCCCUUCUUUGCCUUUAAAAGCUCCUGAUUUUUAGUGCCUAGUGGAACACUUUUUGAGUUUCUACCUAAAUAUGUUUCUCCCAAAUUGCAGUUCUAAUUGCCCAAAUAAAUAUCUGCUGUUUAAAUUGCAGUGAUUUUUCCUCUGUCAACAACCUACGAGGUGGUAAGCAACUAUAAGACGUGAGGCCAGAGAAAUGUGCUUGUCAUUUGUGUGUCCUCAGUCUCUGGUACUAGUCACAGAGUCAGUGCCCUGAAUGCUUUCGAGUAAAUUAAUUAAUCAGUGUUGGAAAAUACUCAAGGUACGACUUCAAGAACUUGAAUUCCCAGGCAAGACUGGGAUCUCAGGAGCCAAAGCUGAGCACAGGAGAAGAUUCUAACCCAGGCCUCCUAUACCCUCUAAAUUCACAUUUCCUGCUGCUCCCUACUGAAUACCUGCUGCUAGCUGCCUCCUUCUCCACUCCCUGAGUUAUUUCCUUAGUGGAAUGAUGAAGCCAGAGGAGAGCUGUGGGCACGUCACCCUCGCUGUCUCUGCUCUGGCUGCAGGGAGGAAUUCCCAGGCUCCCGCCCUCACCGGCUGAGAGCAGAAAACAGUGAUCACACAAAAGAUUCCUGUGGAGAGGAACCAGGAAAACUGCUAUCUUCUAUAUUAACCUCCAUAUGAUAAACCUUAUGCUGGUGAACCUGGCCAAGAAAAGGCCAGAGAUCUUGAAGGAACCCUGGGUGCCACUUCAGUGAAUGCUAUGCAGUGGUAGGGAGCACGCUUAGUGCUCUCAGGGGGACACCCCCUACUUGAAUCGAUGGCGGUCAAGCUCUGUGUCAUCCAUCCUUUAAGUCAAGCCAAGGCCUUCUGUCCACUUGAGGCUCUAAACACAAGCAAGAUGAUGGAGCGGGGUGAGGCAAGAAGAAGUGGGCUGAGUCGUUUUCAAAUGAGAUCGACUUUACUAAAUGAUUCAGGAUAAAGUAGCAGGUGCUAAAGGAAAAGCAACUGAGAUCACGCGAGGGGAAUAUAAUGCCAAGCAUUUUUUCCCUUCUUUAAAAAUUUUUCUCAACUUGAUUCUGUGUAAAAAUGGUACAACUACAGUCAAGGAUAGCUUCCUGAUGUUGAUGAGUGGGGCUUUUUGGAGGGGUGAGAAUUUUCUCAUCAGAGGCGAGGAGAAGGCAAAGCCACAGCAGAGCCAGCCGCAGGCCCCGGCUGCCAGCAACGUCAGGCUGUGCAGGCCGGCCUCUGCUCCAAAUACACCUGACACUCAGGGUCAAAUGCCGACCUCUUCAGAGCUCCAGGGCCAAAGCCUGGAUUGAUGGGUCCCUUUAUUUUGGUGAAGAGACCAAGGGUUCCAGCUUUUUCCUUUUAAAUUUUUCUUAUCAAUUUUUUAAUCAGUAAAGUAAUUCACGCUCGUUGUAACAACUGAAGCCAAUGUUGAUAUAUAUCCUUCCUUAAACAUAUAUGGGAGGUAGCUUUGUUUGUUUCCUUAAAAAUAGGAUUAUCUACACAUAUUACUUUGCACCUUACAUUUUGCAUUGAACAAUAUAUCACGAACACUCCUGCAGGUCAACGCAUACAGACAUAAUUCUUUUAAACAGCUGCAUCUGAGUCCAUAGUGUGAACGGAGACAGUUUAUUCUAUUGUUUCCAAUUUAAUGAAUAUUCAAACUAUUUUCUGGUGUUUUUGGUUUAUUUGUUUGAUUUUUCUUUGGGCCACUACACCCAUUACUACUGCAUUAAACAUCUUCUUAGAUAUAUCCUUACAAAUGGAUCUUUUAUUUCUGAAGAAAACAUCAACAAAAGGAAUUGCUUGGACAUGUGGAUGUGUUCUUUUUAAAACAGAUAUUACUUCCCAAAAUUAGAAAUCCACCUGCCCAAAUGCAAAAUAUGAAAAUGUCCAUCUUCCCACCGCUUCACCAGGAAUCUCUUUUUAUUGUGACUUUUGCUGUUUUCUAAAGAACAUGCAGUCAGGGAAAAAUAAGAGAGCAGAUCACCUCUUCACCUCAGCCCUCAGCACAUCAGAUUCCCCCAUCAUUAAACAUUUGUCCAAUAUAGAAGGUACGGCACCAAGAGUGAACCGUAGUAUGACUAUGGCCUUUGGGCGAUAAGGCAGCAUCACUGCAGACGUGUCACCUGUAACGAAGGCACCACUCUGGUGGGAGACGUUGACAAGGAGGGAGACUACGCAUGUCCUGGGGGCAGGGGCUAUAUGGGAAAUCUCUGUUCCUUCCUCUCAAUUUUGCUGUGAACCCCAAACUGCUCUAAAAAAAUUAUCUUUUUUAAAAAAGUGAUUUAAGUGCACAUUUUGUGGUGGACAUUCUGAUGUACACGCCAGUCCCUUCUUCAGGAACGGAGGCUCUCUUCUCUCAGCUGCUGGGAAUGGCACAGAGGACAGCCCUCAGCAGUCGGCUGCUUGGGAACUGCCCCAGCUGAAUGACAGUCCCUUCCCUGAGGUCACGUCACAUUCCUGAUUGAUACAGGGAUGUAAAUACCCAGCUCUCUUGUCUCAGCUGGGGACGGUUCCAAAGGGUCGUCUGUUUUUGAACUGCCCGAAGGUCACGGCUGCAGCCUGCCUUGACUCCACCCCACUGGACUUCUCCCUCUGCGGUCUCCUCCUCCCUUCCCAAGGAUGUCCCUAGUCAACUUCCUGAGUUCUGAUCUCUGUCUCAGGGUCUGCUUCCCAGAGAACCCAGAAGCGAGCUAUACAUUUUAAAAGAAACUCACACAGAGUAUUCACUCAGAGUUUCUAACUUAGGGAAUUCAUGACAUAAAGUUCUUUUGAUUUUGGCAGGCUGAUUUCACUUUUGAACACCUCCCACAGAUGAAGAACCAACACAUUUAUACCUGUAUCUUUAUAGAGAGGCAUCCAUAUUUAUGAGACGAUAAUUAUUCGUUCCCAAGGAUUUUGUCGCUCAUCAUUACUCUAAAAGAAACUCGGGAGAGGUAAACAAUUCACCAGAACUCCUUUGGUUUUGCCAAUCUUCAGGUGAAAAUUGGUUAUUGCUUUGUUCUUUUGAUUGGCAUCCCCAGCUAGUGAGGUGGGGAAUGUCCACAGGUGUUUAUUAGCCAGGUAGUUUCCUCUUCUGUGAAUUAUCUAUUUACAUACUUUUGCCCAUUUUUCUUUUUGUUUCACUUGUCUUUUUCAUAAUAAUUGGUAAUACAUUUUGGAUAUAUGUUGCUUUUUUGGCUUUUUUUGAUGGUGACUUUCAUCACUUUCAAAGAUAACACUUUAUGUGUUGGUUUUGGAGGGUUAUUUGAGUUUGGGUUUUAAAAAUAUAUGUAUACAGAAGCAUAUAAGGAAGAAAGUAACUGUCUUAGUCCAUUUGGGCAGCUCUAACUGAAUACCAUUGACUGGGUGGCUGAUAAACAACAGGAAUUUAUUUCUCACAGUCCUGGCAGCUGGGAGGUCCUAGAUCAGGGCCUGCUUCGAGGCUCCUAGACAGUCAUCUUUUUGCUGUGUUCUCACAGGGCCAAAGGGCAAGGGAUCUCGCCAGGAUCCUUUUUAUAAGGGCACUAAUCUCAUUCAUUAGGGCUUCACCCUCAUGACCUAAUUACCUCCCAAAGGCUCCAACUCCUAAUACCAUAACAUUGAGGAUUAGGUUCCAACAUGUGAAUUUGGUGGGUGGAGCAGAAACACAAACAUUCACUCAAUAGCAGUAAUAAUCACUUAAAAUUUCUCCACUUAGAGAAUUAUUUUGAAAUUUUUCACUUUUCCUUGCAAUUUUUCCAUGCCCAGUUUUCAUAAUUGAGAUAAUCUUAUAUCAGACUUUAUACAUAAUUUGAAUUCUUGUUUUCUCAUAUACAGUCAUGCGCCACAGAAUGACACUGUGGUCAGCAAUGGACCACAUAUACAACGGUGGUCCCGUAGAUUAGUACUGUAUGCCUGGGUGUGUAGUAGGCUACACCAUCUAGGUUUGUGUAAGUAGAUUCUAUGAUGUUCACACAAUGACAAAAUUGACUAAUGACCAAUUUCUCAGAACGUAUCCCCAUUGCUAAGCGAUGCAUGACUGUACUAUUAUAUCCUAAGCAUUUCCGCAAGUCAUUAAAAGCCUUAAUGAUCAUCUAAAUGGCUACAUAAUAGUUUAGCGAAUGGAUAAACCAUCAUUCGAUGUAAUCCCUUAAGAAGUGUUAGACAUGUGGAUCAUUUCCAAUCUCCCACUAUUACAAAUAAUACUAUGAUGAGCUUCCUAUGCAGAAAUAUCUGUUUGUAUUUCAGAUUAUUUCCUUAAAUACACUCUCAAGAGUGGAAAUGAGUAAAAAGCAAAAAAACGUGUAAACGCCCUUGUUACAUAUCUCAGUUCGCUUUUCAGGAGUCAUUUGCAAACCAGUGUUUUACAUCUGAAGAGAAAUAUUACAGUGAAAACAUCACACCCAAAGUUAGUCCUGGCAUUGGUGGUCCCAGGCAAUGUCUCGGGGUAUCGCCAUCAAGUAAGCAAACAUUUAUUACACCUACUGCUUACAAGUGACUAUUUCAGGCACUAGAGGGAUGUGGAUAACAUUGACCAGGGUCCUGCUGUCAAAGAGUGAAGGGUCUGAGAGAACAUUGAGCACUAAUUGAUUAAGUAUAACAUGAGAAGGAGUGAAACAAAUCUUCAACAGAAUUGUAAGUCAGCGUGUGUGGGGGAAGCGGUGAAACGAUGCAGCCAGCGAGAUGCGCUGUUCUAUUACAGUCUCAUAAACAUCCUCCAGGGCCCUGGGACCUUUCCUAUAAUCGAUACUGGAAGUACAUGAAUGUCCAGUCGGGAUUUGGAAUGUAGUUUUAGGAUUUUACAUAAUGACAUAGCUUUAUAGUUUUUACCACUUUGCUUUUAUGACUAGCUGUUGGUCAUUGCUAUGGUUUCCUUGACACCAGGAGCCUGGCAUGCAGCCCCCACAUUUUUCCUGUAGAGUUUCAUCCUACAGUAGCCCACUCGGCACUGGGGGCUUAAAGACUGCAGUGUGUGUGUGUAUGGCUCAAUGGGUUAGGCCAUGUGCUGCUCACCCCUGGGAGUCUCUGGUGGGUGGAGAGGAACCCGCCAGGCUGACUUCCAACAGAGCAUGCUAUUUCCACUACUCAGAAGCUGGCGGGACCCCAGACACCACAACCCAACCCGAAUCACCUAAAAGCAGUGUGGUGGGAUGGCCCUGGAGCCAGAGUUCUGAAUUUGAUCUUCGCUUUCCCCACCUAGCAGCCAUCUGAUCUGGACAAACUAUUUAGACCUCUCACCUUUCUUUCCUCAACUAUAAAACAGAGCCAAGAGUGAUCGUGAGAGGACAAAAAGAUAAUGGAUGUGAAAGCACUUAAAGAGAGGAAAUUGUCUUCGAAAUAUCAGCAUUUAUUAUGCUUUAGAAAAUCUAAAAAUCAGAUUUUCCUAGUCCCUCCUCUCUAAACAAAUUUUGAUGUCCAUGGGGGAUGAAGAGCAAGGGGUGGUAAUGCAUUGAUUUAUUCCUUGUCACUUUUUAAAAGGCAUGCCUUAAAGCAAUAUGAUAGAAGAGCUAUUUUUCUGGCGUUGUCAUCACUAGAGAGGGCGACUUUGGCUGGCUGAGAACACAUUUGUGUGUGUGCCUAGGGUUUUGAAAGGUGGAGGGGACUGUUGUAGAACACUAGGUGGGAAAAUUUCUUUAGGGUUUACAAGUUGAUCUGAGGCUCUACCCCAUAGCACGCAGACCUCUGAGCCCUCGGGAAUUACCUUCCACUCCAUCAUCCACGAAGCGGGCCCCUGGGAAGCAAAUUCUGACAUACUGGGAGAAAUUCAGCCAGGCUCCCGGACAAAAGAAGCUCAAAGGAUACUCUAGCAGAGAUUAUCAGAGAAGCGCUUCUGCUUUAUGAGCCUGUGAAGAAAACUGCAGAAUUGUUCAUCUCACUUUUGUUGGAUGGAGAAAAUAUACUGCUCCUUUAAGGGCUACCUGCAAAGCGAAGGAAACGUUAUCCUGAGUGAUUUAUUUAGGCACACCUGAGGCCAACUCUAAGCGCCUACAUCUUCAUUCCGAGAAGCUCAGGGAAGAGAGAAGUGGCUAGACCAUGCUCCCCAAUACAUCUACCCUCCCCCUCAUCGGCCAGCCAUGUUAUAGCCCCUGGAGAGCAAGACUGAGCCAUUCCUCCCCACCCACCCCCAAAUUUCCAUCCUCACUGGUGCCCCCGCUCCCAGGGACAGACAGUGGACAAGGUGCUGCCGGGGAGCUGCCUCCCGUGCUGUCCACCCACUCGUUCCCCCUGCCUACCUUCAAGGACCCUCCCCCGCCCUCAGCAAUGUCCCGAGGCACCUGCCUCUUCAGGAGUGAAGCCCAGCUACUGAUGUCUCCCAUGACUGUCACCAGCCACUGGGCAGGGUCGCCCCCAGCUCUGCUCUCCCUUCAGGCUUCCAUCUCAUCACUGUUCCCUAAGGAUCCUCUUCCCGCUCUCCGCUCUGAGAUCCCCACGCUUGCCUGUACUUGAAAGAGGGUCCAGGAAAUUCCCAGGACACCCUAAAUAGAACUCACUUCCUGUUCCGUGAAUUCUCAGCCCCAGUCAGAAACAUGUGGAGCCUUGCCUCUGCUCGCCACCCCGGAGAAGUGGUAUUUUUAGAGGGAUUACAGAGUGGGGAGGGUCAGCGCAAGCUGAAAGGACAGGUCCACUGAACAGAAACCGUUGCUUAGACAGAAAAUCAUCAUCACAAGAGUAAGAGCUAUCAUUUUCCAAGACACUUUCCUAUUUACAUGUGCGUUCAUAUCCAUCAUCUCCUUGAUUCCCCAACAUCACUCACUAAGGAAGAUAAGCGAGUGUUAUUGGCUCUGCUUUAUGGACAAGGAAUGUAAAGCAGAGAGGAGUUGAUAAGUGGCUAUAGCAGAACCCAAAACUUGGGGGUUGUUGAUAUUUGAGCCCUCUCCAGCUUCCAGUGAUGGAGAGUGAGCACUGGUGGGCACAGGGAGGCCGCUCUGCCCCUGCUGGUCUCUGGCCGCACACCAGGCUGCCCUGCCCAGUGGAGCCUCUU